AGCUUUGGGCAGUGGCAGUAUUUUCACCAGUGGGGUUUAUCUAAUGCACAAUUUUUGGUAAUUGAAAUCUUUUUCCAAUACCCCACUAAAAGGUCUUGCAAUAUAGUUGGCAUUGACAAUUUUUGACAGUAUUUGCAAAGA
Molecule: small nuclear RNA, 141 nt
Filed under: Carlito syrichta (Philippine tarsier)
Lineage: Eukaryota; Metazoa; Chordata; Mammalia; Primates; Tarsiidae
Description: U4 spliceosomal RNA (ENSTSYG00000025434.1)
Rfam family: U4 spliceosomal RNA
About the family: U4 small nuclear RNA (U4 snRNA) is a component of the major U2-dependent spliceosome. The structure of U4 snRNA from yeast and human has been reported.
Source: Rfam by way of RNAcentral